This 465-nucleotide ribosomal RNA is filed under the name uncultured bacterium. RNAcentral's name for it is "partial 16S ribosomal RNA". It matches the Rfam family "Bacterial small subunit ribosomal RNA", at positions 28 to 507 of the family's 1533-position model. The record is from RNAcentral.
GACGAACGCUGGCGGCGUGCUUAACAUAUGCAAGUCGAACGGAAAGGCCCUGCUUGCAGGGUACUCGAGUGGCGAACGGGUGAGUAACACGUGGGUGAUCUGCCCUGCACUUCGGGAUAAGCCUGGGAAACUGGGUCUAAUACCGGAUAGGAGCCAUUUUUAGUGUGAUGGUUGGAAAGUUUUUUCGGUGUAGGAUGAGCUCGCGGCCUAUCAGCUUGUUGGUGGGGUAAUGGCCUACCAAGGCGGCGACGGGUAGCCGGCCUGAGAGGGUGGACGGCCACAUUGGGACUGAGAUACGGCCCAGACUCCUACGGGAGGCAGCAGUGGGGAAUAUUGCACAAUGGGCGCAAGCCUGAUGCAGCGACGCCGCGUGGGGGAUGACGGCCUUCGGGUUGUAAACUCCUUUCGCUAGGGACGAAGCUUUUUGUGACGGUACCUAGAUAAGAAGCACCGGCUAACUACGUG